GGGGCUGUAGCUCAGCUGGGAGAGCGCCGCGUUCGCAAUGCGGAGGCCUGGAGUUCGAUCCUCCACAGCUCCACCA
This 76-nucleotide transfer RNA is filed under the name Candidatus Hydrogenedentes bacterium ADurb.Bin101. RNAcentral's name for it is "tRNA-Ala". It matches the Rfam family "tRNA". Rfam says of the family: Transfer RNA (tRNA) molecules are approximately 80 nucleotides in length. Their secondary structure includes four short double-helical elements and three loops (D, anti-codon, and T loops). Lineage: Bacteria; Pseudomonadati; Candidatus Hydrogenedentota. RNAcentral also lists the same sequence under 2 other names. The record is from RNAcentral.